AGUGAACGCUGGCGGUAGGCCUAACACAUGCAAGUCGAACGGCAGCACAGUAAUAGCUUGCUCUUACGGGUGGCGAGUGGCGGACGGGCGAGGAAUACAUCGGAAUCUACUUUUUCGUGGGGGAUAACGUAGGGAAACUUACGCUAAUACCGCAUACGACCUACGGGUGAAAGCAGGGGAUCUUCGGCCCUUGCGCGAUUGAAUGAGCCGAUGUCGGAUUAGCUAGUUGGCGGGGUAAAGGCCCACCAAGGCGACGAUCCGUAGCUGGUCUGAGAGGAUGAUCAGCCACACUGGAACUGAGACACGGUCCAGACUCCUACGGGAGGCAGCAGUGGGGAAUAUUGGACAAUGGGCGCAAGCCUGAUCCAGCCAUACCGCGUGGGUGAAGAAGGCCUUCGGGUUGUAAAGCCCUUUUGUUGGGAAAGAAAAGCAGCAGGUUAAUACCCCGCUGUUCUGACGGUACCCAAAGAAUAAGCACCGGCUAACUUCGUG
Molecule: ribosomal RNA, 492 nt
Filed under: uncultured bacterium
Lineage: Bacteria
Description: partial 16S ribosomal RNA
Rfam family: Bacterial small subunit ribosomal RNA
Source: RNAcentral